AUUAGCUAGUUGGCGGGGCAACGGCCCACCAAGGCGACGAUCGGUAGCCGGCCUGAGAGGGUGAUCGGCCACAUUGGGACUGAGAUACGGCCCAGACUCCUACGGGAGGCAGCAGUAGGGAAUAUUGCACAAUGGGGGAAACCCUGAUGCAGCAACGCCACGUGUGGGAAGAAGCAUUUCGGUGUGUGGACCACUGUCAUGAGGGAAUAAGGCCCGUUCUCGGACGGGAUUGAAUGUACCUUGAGAGGAAGCACCGGCCAACUUCGUGCCAGCAGCCGCGGUAAUACGAGGGGUGCAAGCGUUGUUCGGAAUUACUGGGCGUAAAGGGAGCGUAGGCGGAGAUUCAAGCGGAUUGUACAAUCCCGGGGCCCAACCCCGGCUCUGCAGUCCGAACUGGAUCUCUUGGA
This 407-nucleotide ribosomal RNA is filed under the name uncultured rumen bacterium. RNAcentral's name for it is "bacterial SSU rRNA". It matches the Rfam family "Bacterial small subunit ribosomal RNA", at positions 240 to 646 of the family's 1533-position model. The record is from RNAcentral.